AUGCCACAUGGGCCUAAGCCCAGCACCGGUCCGGUGGUGGAGGUGGAGGUGGAGGUGGAGGCUCCGUCGGGCUACGCCACGGCCGGCAAGGUCCUGUUCGUCGCGGCCGGGGCGUUCGCGGGCGUCCUGCUGGCCCUCAUCGCGCUGCACCUGUACACCAGCGGCUGGCGCCGGCGCGCGCGAGAGGGUCGCCGCCUCCACCGCAGCCUGGCCAUCUACGUCGAGGCGCCUUUGCUGCGGCGGCUCGACCCCCUCGACCCCGCGGUGCUGCGCGCGCUCCCCGUGGUCCCCGCGGCCGUCGGCGCCGGGGACUGCGCGGUCUGCCUCGCCGAGUUCGAGCGCGGCGAGGAGGCGCGCGCGCUGCCGCGGUGCGGCCACCGGUUCCACGUCGAGUGCAUCGACGCCUGGUUCCGCGGGAACUCCACGUGCCCCCUGUGCCGCGCCGCCGUCGAGGCGCCGGACUACGCCGAGGCCCGUCCCGUGGUGCGCGUCGAUGUGGCGGCCGACGACGACGCCGCGGCCAAGGGCGGAGCGCCGGCGACAGGGAGGAUGUCCAGCGGCACGGAGCUUGACAAGACGAGGCGGGUCUCUGCUUCCACCCGAUCCGCUUCCUUCUGA
This 618-nucleotide ribosomal RNA is filed under the name Triticum aestivum (bread wheat). RNAcentral's name for it is "partial small subunit ribosomal RNA". Lineage: Eukaryota; Viridiplantae; Streptophyta; Magnoliopsida; Poales; Poaceae. The record is from RNAcentral.